CAGUAGCCACGGUAAUACGUAGGGCGCAAGCGUUAUCCGGAAUUAUUGGGCGUAAAGAGCUCGUAGGCGGUUUGUCGCGUCUGCCGUGAAAGUCCGGGGCUCAACCCCGGAUCUGCGGUGGGUACGGGCAGACUAGAGUGAUGUAGGGGAGACUGGAAUUCCUGGUGUAGCGGUGAAAUGCGCAGAUAUCAGGAGGAACACCGAUGGCGAAGGCAGGUCUCUGGGCAUUAACUGACGCUGAGGAGCGAAAGCAUGGGGAGCGAACAGGAUUAGAGACCCCAGUAGUCCCUGUCUCUUAUAA
Molecule: ribosomal RNA, 301 nt
Filed under: uncultured bacterium
Lineage: Bacteria
Description: partial 16S ribosomal RNA
Rfam family: Bacterial small subunit ribosomal RNA
Source: RNAcentral